This 207-nucleotide ribosomal RNA is filed under the name uncultured bacterium. Its description in RNAcentral is "partial 16S ribosomal RNA". It matches the Rfam family "Bacterial small subunit ribosomal RNA", at positions 1294 to 1500 of the family's 1533-position model. The record is from RNAcentral.
CGGAUUGCAGGCUGCAACCCGCCUGCAUGAAGUUGGAAUCGCUAGUAAUCGCGGAUCAGCAUGCCGCGGUGAAUACGUUCCCGGGCCUUGUACACACCGCCCGUCACACCAUGAGAGUCGGGAACACCCGAAGUCCGUAGCCUAACCGCAAGGGGGGCGCGGCCGAAGGUGGGUUCGAUAAUUGGGGUGAAGUCGUAACAAGGUAAC